AGAGUUUGAUCCUGGCUCAGAUUGAACGCUGGCGGCAUGCUUUACACAUGCAAGUCGAACGGUAACAGGCCGCAAGGUGCUGACGAGUGGCGAACGGGUGAGUAAUGCAUCGGAACGUGCCCAGUCGUGGGGGAUAACGCAGCGAAAGCUGCGCUAAUACCGCAUACGAUCUGUGGAUGAAAGCGGGGGACCGUAAGGCCUCGCGCGAUUGGAGCGGCCGAUGUCAGAUUAGGUAGUUGGUGGGGUAAAGGCUCACCAAGCCAACGAUCUGUAGCUGGUCUGAGAGGACGACCAGCCACACUGGAACUGAGACACGGUCCAGACUCCUACGGGAGGCAGCAGUGGGGAAUUUUGGACAAUGGGCGCAAGCCUGAUCCAGCAAUGCCGCGUGCAGGAAGAAGGCCUUCGGGUUGUAAACUGCUUUUGUACGGAACGAAACGGUCUGAGUUAAUACCUCGGGCUAAUGACGGUACCGUAAGAAUAAGCACCGGCUAACUACGUGCCAGCAGCCGCGGUAAUACGUAGGGUGCAAGCGUUAAUCGGAAUUACUGGGCGUAAAGCGUGCGCAGGCGGUGAUGUAAGACAGUCGUGAAAUCCCCGGGCUCAACCUGGGAAUUGCGAUUGUGACUGCAUCGCUGGAGUGCGGCAGAGGGGGAUGGAAUUCCGCGUGUAGCAGUGAAAUGCGUAGAUAUGCGGAGGAACACCGAUGGCGAAGGCAAUCCCCUGGGCCUGCACUGACGCUCAUGCACGAAAGCGUGGGGAGCAAACAGGAUUAGAUACCCUGGUAGUCCACGCCCUAA
Molecule: ribosomal RNA, 800 nt
Filed under: uncultured bacterium
Lineage: Bacteria
Description: bacterial SSU rRNA
Rfam family: Bacterial small subunit ribosomal RNA
Source: RNAcentral